RNAcentral lists this ribosomal RNA (373 nucleotides) under uncultured bacterium. RNAcentral's name for it is "bacterial SSU rRNA". It matches the Rfam family "Bacterial small subunit ribosomal RNA", at positions 527 to 898 of the family's 1533-position model. The record is from RNAcentral.
GGGGGGGGCAAGCGUUGUUCGGAAUUACUGGGCGUAAAGGGCCAGUAGGCGGCCAACUAAGUCCGACGUGAAAUCCCCAGGCUUAACCUGGGAACUGCGUCGGAUACUGGAUGGCUUGAAUUCGGGAGAGGGAUGCAGAAUUCCAGGUGUAGCGGUGAAAUGCGUAGAUAUCUGGAGGAAUACCGGUGGCGAAGGCGGCAUCCUGGACCGACAUUGACGCUGAACGGCGAAAGCUAGGGGAGCAAACGGGAUUAGAUACCCCGGUAGUCCUAGCCCUAAACGAUGAAUGUUUGGUGUGGCGGGUAUCGAUCCCUGCCGUGCCGAAGCUAACGCAUUAAACAUUCCGCCUGGGGAGUACGGUCGCAAGGCUGAA